UGGGGGAUAUUGCACAAUGGAGGAAACUCUGAUGCAGCGACGCCGCGUGAGGGAAGAAGGUCUUCGGAUUGUAAACCUCUGUCUUUGGGGACGAAGAAGGUGACGGUACCCAAAGCGGAAGCCACGGCUAACUACGUGCCAGCAGCCGCGGUAAUACGUAGGUGGCGAGCGUUGUCCGGAAUUACUGGGUGUAAAGGGUGCGUAGGCGGACUGGCAAGGUGGAUGUGAAAUCUCCGCGCUUAACGUGGAGGUUGCAUUCAAAACUGUUGGACGUAGGUGAGGCAGAGGCUGGCGGAAUUCCCGGUGUAGCGGUGAAAUGCGUCGAGCCUCGUAUGCAGACCAGUGGCGAAGGCGGCCUGCUGG
Molecule: ribosomal RNA, 363 nt
Filed under: uncultured bacterium
Lineage: Bacteria
Description: bacterial SSU rRNA
Rfam family: Bacterial small subunit ribosomal RNA
Source: RNAcentral